Odocoileus virginianus texanus is the source of this 1544-nucleotide non-coding RNA. NCBI's taxonomy places the organism in Eukaryota, Metazoa, Chordata, Mammalia, Artiodactyla, Cervidae. The record is from RefSeq and is a predicted model, not a curated record.
CUCUGCCAAUCUGGUGAAAAAUAGCAUCUCCUUGUUAUUCAAAUUUGUGUUUCUCUUUUUAUUAGGGAAACUCAGCAUCUUUUCUAAUGUGUAAGAGACAUUUACAUUUCUGUUCUGCUAAGGGAUUUUUUUGGCCCUUUUGAAAACUGGGUGAGCUCUUUCUCGAUUCCAUCUUUGUGGUCGCGGCAGUGGUGUCCGCGAUCUAGUUGCCAACAUGCAGCUCUUUGUCCACGCCCAGGAGCUACACACUCUCAAUGUGACUGGCCAGGAGACAGUCGCCCAAAUCAAGGCUCAUGUAGCUUUGAUGGAGGGCAUCGCUCCAGAAGAUCAAGUCCUACUCCUGGCUGGCACGCCCCUAGAGGAUGAGACUCUGGGCCAGUGUGGCGUGGAGGCUCCGAGCACUCUGGAAGUAGCCGGCUGCAUGCCUGGAGGUAAAGUCCGUGGUUCCCUGGCCCACGCUGGGAAAGUGAGAGGUCAGACUCCCAAGGUGGCCAAGCAAGAGAAGCAGCAGAAGACGGGCAGGCCAAGAGUUGUACGCAGGACAACCGGCGCUGUGUCAGUGUCGGGCCCACCUUUGGCAAUAAGAAGGGCCCUAAUGCCAACUCCUAAGUCCUCUGUAACCUUGGCUUUCUCUAACAAAGCCACUUAACCCAAUCAAUCAUUUAAAAAAUUAAAAACUGGGUGAUUAAUAUAAAUAUAUUUCUUAUUGAUUAGCAGAGGCUCUUACUAGGGAAACUUAACCUUGUUUGGAUUUGAGUUGCAAAUGAGUUUCUCCUAGUUUGUUAUUAGUCUUUGUUUAUUGUGGUCUUUGUCAUAGGUUUUUCACUGUGGUUUUUUUUUUUUUUUUAAUGAAUGUAUUGGCAUUCUUUUAAAAAGGCUUCAAAUGAUCUAAAUGUCCAUUGACAGAUGGAUGGAUAAAGAUGUGUGUAUACUUUAGUACUUUCAGUAACCUCAAUGGCAAAUUCAGGAAGGAGGAGGAAAGAAUUUGGAAGCAGUGAUGGGUACAAGACAUCUAUUUCACCUCCAGGUCUUGGGAAUUGUGAAGUUUAUGAGAAAAAGCAGCUCCAGCCUGAGGCUUCUCAGGGGAAACCAUGAUUCCAGGGGCCCACUUGGCCCAGUUUCAGUGAAGGCACAAGGUGAAGGGUUUAUUCAUCAAGGAAGCGGAGUCAGCAGGGGGUCAGGAUUUGUCACCCCAAAAUAUGCCACUUUGGCCUUUUGAUUUUUCUGAAUUAAAGGUACUUAAGAAAUAGCCAGUACAAAAAGGACAGUCUGACCCUCCUUGUCCCCCUAAUCAGCAGGUGAUAACCCCCCAUAGGAAAGGGAGCAGAGGGGUUGAGGGCAUCCUUAUCACCAGAGAGAGGGAGUCUAGGGCUGAGAAUGCCGUAUAAACACACUGUGCUACUUCUUCACCAACUCACUACCCCGAGCCCAAACCCCUUUGCUCAACCCUUCACAAAUCUGUGGUUUUUUUGUCUAAAAGAUAUAAAAGCUUCCAGUUUCAGUCACUUCUUUGAGUCUCAUAUUUUUAUGAAGCUCUGGUACAU